CCGCGGUAAUUCCAGCUCCAGUAGCGUAUCUCAAAGUUGUUGCGCUUAAAACGCUCGUAGUUGGAUCACAAGCUAUUCGUGGGUGCGUGACGACGUGUGUCAGUUUUGGAGAUUUGACUGUUGUGUCAUCACACAGUCGGGGAUUUGAAUGGUGCAGUGUUGCUGCGAUAAGCCAACGAAUAGUAAUUGCACGUAAGGAUGGAUGUCGGCCUUGAGUGAGCUGAUGUUUGUGUCUUACGGAGUGUGCCUUGAGUAAAUCAGAGUGCUUAAAGCAGGCUUUAUGCUUGAAUGUUAUAGCAUGGAACGAACAAUCGUGUAUAGUGUAUGUUGUAAAUGAUAAGUUGAACGUUGUUUAACAUCAUCAACAUAUGACACCGACCACCAAUAACGGAUGUUGGUUCCGUAUUGGGGUAUUGAUUAAGAGGAGCAGUUGGGGGCAUUGGUAUUUGGCAGCGAGAGGUGAAAU
RNAcentral lists this ribosomal RNA (466 nucleotides) under Myxosporea environmental sample. RNAcentral describes it as "bacterial SSU rRNA". It matches the Rfam family "Eukaryotic small subunit ribosomal RNA", at positions 574 to 917 of the family's 1831-position model. Lineage: Eukaryota; Metazoa; Cnidaria; Myxozoa. The record is from RNAcentral.